CAAGAGGGAAGUUUUGUAAAAUCAACAGGAAGAAUUGCUCAGAUACCCGUGAGCGUAUAUAACUUGGGUCGUGUUAUAAAUGCUCUGGCUAAACCUAUUGAUGGGAGAGGCGAAAUUGUAGCUUCCGAAUCUCGCUUAAUUGAAUCUCCUGCUCCAAGUAGAAUUUCCAGGCGUUCCGUAUAUGAACCUCUUCAAACAGGGCUUAUUGCUAUCGAUUCGAUGAUCCCUAUAGGGCGCGGUCAGCGAGAGUUCAUUAUUGGGGACAGACAGACUGGCAAAACAGCAGUAGCCACAGAUACAAUUCUCAAGAAAAAAGGGCAAGGUGUAAUAUGUGUUUAUGUAGCUAUCGGUCAAAGAGCAUCCUCCGUAGCUCAAGUAGUAACUACUUUCCAUGAGGAGGGGGCCAUGGAAUACACUAUUGUAGUAGCUGAAAUGGCGGAUUCACCUGCUACAUUACAAUACCUCGCUCCUUAUACGGGAGCAGCCCUGGCUGAGUAUUUUAUGUACCGCGAACGGCAUACUUUAAUAAUUUAUGAUGAUCUCUCCAAACAGGCACAAGCUUAUCGCCAAAUGUCCCUUCUAUUAAGAAGACCUCCCGGCCGUGAGGCUUAUCCAGGGGAUGUUUUUUAUUUGCAUUCACGCCUUUUAGAAAGAGCCGCUAAAUUAAAUUCUCUUUUAGGCGAAGGAAGUAUGACCUCUUUACCAAUAGUUGAGACUCAAUCUGGAGACGUUUCCGCCUAUAUUCCUACUAAUGUAAUCUCCAUUACAGAUGGACAAAUAUUCUUAUCUGCGGAUCUAUUCAAUGCCGGAAUUCGACCCGCUAUUAAUGUGGGUAUUUCUGUUUCCAGAGUAGGAUCCGCGGCUUAA
RNAcentral lists this ribosomal RNA (867 nucleotides) under Triticum aestivum (bread wheat). Its description in RNAcentral is "partial small subunit ribosomal RNA". Lineage: Eukaryota; Viridiplantae; Streptophyta; Magnoliopsida; Poales; Poaceae. The record is from RNAcentral.